GAUGAACGCUAGCGACAGGCUUAACACAUGCAAGUCGAGGGGCACCACACGGAGCGAUACCGGGUGGCGACCGGCGCACGGGUGAGUAACGCGUAUGCAACUUGCCUAUCACAGGGGGAUAACCCGGCGAAAGUCGGACUAAUGCCGCAUGAAGCAAGGGCCCCGCAUGGGGAUAUUUGCUAAAGAUUCAUCGCUGAUAGAUAGGCAUGCGAUCCAUUACGCAGUUGGCGGGGUAACGGCCCACCAAACCGACGAUGGAUAGGGGUUCUGAUAGGAAGGUCCCCCACAUUGAUACUGAGACACGGACCAGACUCCUACGGCAGGCACCAGUGAGGAAUAUUGGUCAAUGGUCGACAGGCUGAACCAGCCAAGUCACGUGAGGCAUGAAGGUUCUAUGGAUCGUACACCUCUUUUAUAAGGUAAUAAAGUGCGGGACACGUCCCGUUUUGUAUGUGCCUUAUGAAUAAAGAUCGGCUAACUCCGUGCCACCAGCCGCGGUAAUACGGAGGAUCCGAGCGUUAUCCGGAUUUAUUGGGUUUAAAGGGUGCGUAGGCGGCCUUUUAGUCAGCGGUGAAAGUCUGUGGCUCAACCAUAGAAUUGCCGUUGAAACUGGGAGGCUUGAGUAUGUUUGAGGCAAGCGGAAUGCGUGGUGUAGCGGUGAAAUGCUUAGAUAUCUCGCAGAACCCCGAUUGCGAAGGCAGCCUGCCGAGCCAUUACUGACGCUGAUGCACGAAAGCGUGGGGAUCAAACAGGAUUAGAUACCCUGGUAGUCCACGCAGUAAACGAUGAUCACUAGCUGUUUGCGAUACACUGUAAGCGGCACAGCGAAAGCGUUAAGUGAUCCACCUGGGGAGUACGCCGGCAACGGUGAAACUCAAAGGAAUUGACGGGGGCCCACACAAGCGGAGGAACAUGUGGUUUAAUUCGAUGAUACGCGAGGAACCUUACCCGGGUUUGAACGCACUUUGACAGCUCUGGAAACAGAGCCUCUAGCAAUAGCGAUUUGCGAGGUGCUGCAUGGUUGUCGUCACCUCGUGCCGUGAGGUGUCAGCUUAAGUGCCAUAACGAGCGCAACCCUUGCCACUAGUUACUAACACGUAAAGCUGAGGGCUCUGGUGGGACUGCCAGCGUAAACUGCGAGGAAGGCGGGGAUGACGUCAAAUCAUCACGCCCCUUACAUCCGGGGCGACACACGUGUUACAAUGGCGUGGACAAAGGGAGGCCACCUGGCGACAGGGAGCGAAUCCCCAAACCACGUCUCAGUUCGGAUCGGAGUUUGCAACCCGACUCCGUGAAGCCGGAUUCGCUAGUAAUCGCGCAUCAGCCAUGGCGCGGUGAAUACGUUCCCGGGCCU
This 1354-nucleotide ribosomal RNA is filed under the name uncultured bacterium. Its description in RNAcentral is "bacterial SSU rRNA". It matches the Rfam family "Bacterial small subunit ribosomal RNA", at positions 28 to 1381 of the family's 1533-position model. The record is from RNAcentral.